This 301-nucleotide ribosomal RNA is filed under the name uncultured bacterium. Its description in RNAcentral is "partial 16S ribosomal RNA". It matches the Rfam family "Bacterial small subunit ribosomal RNA", at positions 509 to 807 of the family's 1533-position model. The record is from RNAcentral.
CAGCAGCCGCGGUAAUACAGAGGGUGCAAGCGUUAAUCGGAUUUACUGGGCGUAAAGGGCGCGUAGGUGGUUAUUUAAGUGAGAUGUGAAAUCCCCGGGCUUAACCUGGGAACUGCAUCUUAUACUGGGUAACUGGAGUGCAAUAGAGAGUAGUGGAAUUUCCGGUGUAGCGGUGAAAUGCGUAGAUAUCGGAAGGAACACCAGUGGCGAAGGCGGCUACCUGGAUUGACACUGACACUGAGGCGCGAGAGCGUGGGGAGCAAACAGGAUUAGAUACCCCUGUAGUCCCUGUCUCUUAUAC